GAAACUAACAAGGAUUCCCCCAGUAACGGCGAGUGAAGUGGGAAUAGCCCAGCACCGAAUCCCUCAGCCUUGCGCUGCCGGGAACUGUGGUGUUUGGGACGACCGCUGUCGUGUUGUUCGGGUGCCCAAGUCCUCCCGAUCGGGGCCUCUCCCACAGUGGGUGUCAGGCCUUUACCGGCACUCGUCGACACGGCUAUGGUCGUCCUCGGAGUCGGGUUGUUUGGGAAUGCAGCCCAAAGCUGGUGGUAAACUCCAUCUAAGGCUAAAUACUGACACGAGUCCGAUAG
This 287-nucleotide ribosomal RNA is filed under the name Flexopecten flexuosus. Its description in RNAcentral is "partial 28S ribosomal RNA". It matches the Rfam family "Eukaryotic large subunit ribosomal RNA", at positions 61 to 340 of the family's 3401-position model. The record is from RNAcentral. Lineage: Eukaryota; Metazoa; Mollusca; Bivalvia; Pectinida; Pectinidae.